AUCCAUCUGAGGAGUCCGAAAUAGGACGAAACGCGCUUCCCGGAU
Non-coding RNA from Schistosoma mansoni, 45 nucleotides. Lineage: Eukaryota; Metazoa; Platyhelminthes; Trematoda; Strigeidida; Schistosomatidae. The record is from Rfam.